GCGAUGAAAGACGUGGUAGCCUGCGAAAAGCUUCGGGGAGUCGGCAAACAGACUUUGAUCCGGAGAUGUCUGAAUGGGGGAACCCAGCCAUCAUAAGAUGGUUAUCUUGUACUGAAUACAUAGGUGCAAGAGGCGAACCAGGGGAACUGAAACAUCUAAGUACCCUGAGGAAAAGAAAUCAACCCUGA
Molecule: non-coding RNA, 188 nt
Filed under: Sphingomonas sp. Leaf339
Lineage: Bacteria; Pseudomonadati; Pseudomonadota; Alphaproteobacteria; Sphingomonadales; Sphingomonadaceae
Description: Bacterial large subunit ribosomal RNA
Rfam family: Bacterial large subunit ribosomal RNA
Source: Rfam by way of RNAcentral